RNAcentral lists this ribosomal RNA (424 nucleotides) under uncultured bacterium. RNAcentral describes it as "bacterial SSU rRNA". It matches the Rfam family "Bacterial small subunit ribosomal RNA", at positions 356 to 773 of the family's 1533-position model. The record is from RNAcentral.
GGGGAAUCUUGCGCAAUGGGCGAAAGCCUGACGCAGCGACGCCGCGUGGGUGAUGAAGGCCUUCGGGUUGUAAAGCCCUGUGGGGAGGGACGAAUAACACAUACCUAAUACGUAUGUAGAUGACGGUACCUCCUUAGCAAGCACCGGCUAACUCUGUGCCAGCAGCCGCGGUAAGACAGAGGGUGCAAACGUUGUUCGGAAUUACUGGGCGUAAAGCGCGUGUAGGCGGCUUGGAUAGUCGGGUGUGAAAGCCCGGGGCUCAACCCCGGAAGUGCAUUCGAUACUGCCAAGCUGGAGUCCCGGAGAGGAUGGUGGAACUCUCGGUGUAGAGGUGAAAUUCGUAGAUAUCGAGAAGAACAUCGGUGGCGAAGGCGGCCAUCUGGACGGUGACUGACGCUGAGACGCGAAAGCGUGGGGAGCAAAC